This 491-nucleotide ribosomal RNA is filed under the name uncultured bacterium. Its description in RNAcentral is "partial 16S ribosomal RNA". It matches the Rfam family "Bacterial small subunit ribosomal RNA", at positions 29 to 507 of the family's 1533-position model. The record is from RNAcentral.
GUGAACGCUGGCGGUAGGCCUAACACAUGCAAGUCGAACGGCAGCACAGUAAGAGCUUGCUCUUACGGGUGGCGAGUGGCGGACGGGUGAGGAAUACAUCGGAAUCUACUUUUUCGUGGGGGAUAACGUAGGGAAACUUACGCUAAUACCGCAUACGACCUACGGGUGAAAGCAGGGGAUCUUCGGACCUUGCGCGAUUGAAUGAGCCGAUGUCGGAUUAGCUAGUUGGCGGGGUAAAGGCCCACCAAGGCGACGAUCCGUAGCUGGUCUGAGAGGAUGAUCAGCCACACUGGAACUGAGACACGGUCCAGACUCCUACGGGAGGCAGUAGUGGGGAAUAUUGGACAAUGGGCGCAAGCCUGAUCCAGCCAUACCGCGUGGGUGAAGAAGGCCUUCAGGUUGUAAAGCCCUUUUGUUGGGAAAGAAAAGCAGCAGGUUAAUACCCCGCUGUUCUGACGGUACCCAAAGAAUAAGCACCGGCUAACUUCGUG